GAGAACAGUAUAGGUAAGCGACGCACCUUCUCUCUCCCGACAAUUAAAGCGGAGCUAAGCAUGUAGAAAGCGUAAAUCAUACUAUGUUUGGACGAGGGUUCGAAUCCCUCCGGCUCCACAA
RNAcentral lists this transfer-messenger RNA (121 nucleotides) under Candidatus Sphingobacterium stercorigallinarum. Its description in RNAcentral is "partial transfer-messenger RNA". It matches the Rfam family "transfer-messenger RNA", at positions 233 to 374 of the family's 374-position model. Rfam says of the family: Bacterial tmRNA, also known as 10Sa RNA or SsrA, is named for its dual tRNA and mRNA-like properties. The record is from RNAcentral. Lineage: Bacteria; Pseudomonadati; Bacteroidota; Sphingobacteriia; Sphingobacteriales; Sphingobacteriaceae.